UUGCCUACAUAUUGCACAGGAGAGGCUGGAGACUUGAGAGUGCUAUAAAAGGAGGGCAAGCGAGAAUAUACAAAAACAAGGGUUUGCAAAGUGGUGAGGGGUGGUGACUCGGGAGAGGUGCGGUGAUUGCUGGGAGCGGCAAGGAAGGAGCAUGUCAUGUGGACAAGAAAACCAAGCUAUGUGAUUAUCAUAUCCAUGAUCCUCUCUUAUUAUAUAGUUUUCAAUCUGAAUCAAUGCUCUCUCCUUCUUGCUUGCAAUAUUAUUUUCACUCCUCCGUCUUCCCCAUUCACCAGGUUGCAUAAUCCCUCGAGCCUUAUGAUGAUAAUCUUAAUCUGAAGGUACAAAAUCUAUGGUUUCUUGAGGAGAAGACUGACUUAGACAGUUCAAGGGUAGGAAGAAUGGUCAUGAAAAUCAUGUAAAACCUUGGCAUACCUAAAUAAUAUGGUUGUACAUAAAUUUUGAUUGUGGUUCCAUUUUCUAUCAUACCUAAAUAAUUUCAUAACCUGUGUUCUAAGGAUAUCAUGCUCUAUUGCUCUCCUUUCUUGUAUUUCUUGUUAUAAAAUUUGUCCCUGUGUUCUUGGCUUCAAUUUGUAUAUUUAUUACGUGCCGGACACAGUUAACACAUUUUCAGUUAUUAUAUCAUCUAAAUGCUGUUGCUCUGCC
This is a non-coding RNA of Arachis ipaensis, 663 nucleotides long. The record is from RefSeq and is a predicted model, not a curated record. NCBI's taxonomy places the organism in Eukaryota, Viridiplantae, Streptophyta, Magnoliopsida, Fabales, Fabaceae.